This 92-nucleotide non-coding RNA is filed under the name Candidatus Scybalenecus merdavium. Its description in RNAcentral is "SAM riboswitch (S box leader)". It matches the Rfam family "SAM riboswitch aptamer (S box leader)". From Rfam's summary of the family: The SAM riboswitch is found upstream of a number of genes which code for proteins involved in methionine or cysteine biosynthesis in Gram-positive bacteria. The SAM riboswitch acts at the level of transcription termination control. The record is from RNAcentral. Lineage: Bacteria; Bacillati; Bacillota; Clostridia; Eubacteriales; Oscillospiraceae.
CUUAUCCAGAGUGGUGGAGGGAACGGCCCUUUGAUCCCACAGCAACCUGCAUUGGCAAGGUGCUAAUUCCGGCGGUUUAACCGAGCGAUGAG